AAAAUACAUUGCGUUCUCUUAGAAGGACGACUGUCAAAGCGAGAAGUUGUUUUAUUUAUCGGUGAGAAACUUUCAGUGGCGACGAGGAAAAAUAUAAAAAAGAAGUGCGCGUAAAUUAUACCGAAUAAAAGUGUUUGCUGAGACUAGCCGGAGCUGGAAAUACGGAACCGUUGAUGGUCGGAAUUGCGACGAACCGGGCUCGCUAGUGUACAAAUCAAGCCGGUCGAAUUGCGACGCCGUAGUGCAACCCGGUGUCUGGCGCUGUUGAAGCGACACGGUUUUGGCAUAUCAAUAGAGUGGAGAGCGAUUGACAAACCCUGGGACGGGUACGUAUUGCGCUGCCGACGGUAUUUCUGGCUGUGACGGAAGGUUUCUCGGGCACAUUCGGUGCUUCCGGAGAAUUGGACCACGAAAGCUCAUAGAGGGCAUCGGCAACGGAUUUGGCGCCAAAGGAUUAAGUGGCCAUAUUGCAAGAUCUCGUUGGGGAGUCAUCUAAUCUCGGCCCACAAGGGGCAGAUUAGACUGGUCCGUCAUGACGAAAGGCGGCGUAGAGUGGCGCUUCGGAAAGAGGAAGAACCCGAAGCCAGGCGUGGAACGAAAAGGAGACGAUUGGAGUCAGAGGAUGAACCUCCUUUCCUGGGUUUUCCGGCACCACCACCGCUCAAAAAUGAAAUACAUCCUCGGGUACUAAAUUCGGACUUCCCGUCAUCGAAACGAAUAGCUGCCACUGAUCCGAUGAGUACACAAAGUGAAUUAAGGCGAUCCUCUCGCAUUCGAAAAAAGAAGAACGAUGAUAUGUUCGUAUUUUCAAAGUAAUUAUGUUGUGAACUAUAAUAUGAGCU
Molecule: long non-coding RNA, 842 nt
Organism: Armigeres subalbatus
Lineage: Eukaryota; Metazoa; Arthropoda; Insecta; Diptera; Culicidae
Exons: 3
Source: RefSeq, a predicted model, not a curated record